UACGUAGGUGGCAAGCGUUGUCCGGAUUUACUGGGCGUAAAGGAUGCGUAGGCGGAUAUUUAAGUCAGAUGUGAAAUUCCCGGGCUCAACUUGGGAGCUGCAUUUGAAACUGGGUAUCUAGAGUGCGGGAGAGGAGAGUGGAAUUCCUAGUGUAGCGGUGAAAUGCGUAGAGAUUAGGAAGAACACCAGUGGCGAAGGCGGGACUCUGGGCCGAUACUGACGCUGAGGAGCGAAAGCGUGGGGAGCAAACAGG
This 253-nucleotide ribosomal RNA is filed under the name uncultured bacterium. RNAcentral describes it as "partial 16S ribosomal RNA". It matches the Rfam family "Bacterial small subunit ribosomal RNA", at positions 524 to 776 of the family's 1533-position model. The record is from RNAcentral.